This 544-nucleotide ribosomal RNA is filed under the name uncultured bacterium. Its description in RNAcentral is "bacterial SSU rRNA". It matches the Rfam family "Bacterial small subunit ribosomal RNA", at positions 775 to 1318 of the family's 1533-position model. The record is from RNAcentral.
AGAUAAUAGAUACCCGGGUAGUCCACGCCCUAAACGAUGUCAACUAGUUGUCGGGUCUUCAUUGACUUGGUAAACGUAGCUAAACGCGUGAAGUUGACCGCCUGGGGAGUACGGUCGCAAGAUUAAAACUCAAAGGAAUUGACGGGGACCCGCACAAGCGGUGGAUGAUGUGGAUUAAUUCGAUGCAACGCGAAAAACCUUACCUACCCUUGACAUGUACGGAACCUUGCCGAGAGGUGAGGGUGCCCGAAAGGGAGCCGUAACACAGGUGCUGCAUGGCUGUCGUCAGCUCGUGUCGUGAGAUGUUGGGUUAAGUCCCGCAACGAGCGCAACCCUUGUCCCUAGUUGCUACGCAAGAGCACUCUAGGGAGACUGCCGGUGACAAACCGGAGGAAGGUGGGGAUGACGUCAAGUCCUCAUGGCCCUUAUGGGUAGGGCUUCACACGUCAUACAAUGGUCGGAACAGAGGGUUGCCAAGCCGCGAGGUGGAGCCAAUCCCAGAAAACCCGAUCGUAGUCCGGGAUCGCAGUCUGCAACUCGACUG